CAAAGGAAUUGACGGGACCCGCACAAGCGGUGGAUGAUGUGGUUUAAUUCGAUGCAACGCGAAAACCUUACCCACCUUUGACAUGGCAGGAAUCCCGAAGAGAUUUGGGAGUGCUCGAAAGAGAACCUGCACACAGGUGCUGCAUGGCUGUCGUCAGCUCGUGUCGUGAGAUGUUGGGUUAAGUCCCGCAACGAGCGCAACCCUUGCCAUUAGUUGCUACGAAAGGGCACUCUAAUGGGACUGCCGGUGACAAACCGGAGGAAGGUGGGGAUGACGUCAAGUCCUCAUGGCCCUUAUAGGUGGGGCUACACACGUCAUACAAUGGCCGGUACAGAGGGUAGCCAACCCGCGAGGGGGAGCCAAUCCCACAAAGCCGGUCGUAGUCCGGAUCGCAGUCUGCAACUCGACUGCGUGAAGUCGGAAUCGCUAGUAAUCGUGGAUCAGAAUGUCACGGUGAAUACGUUCCCGGGUCUU
This 474-nucleotide ribosomal RNA is filed under the name uncultured Allobrachymonas sp. Its description in RNAcentral is "bacterial SSU rRNA". It matches the Rfam family "Bacterial small subunit ribosomal RNA", at positions 902 to 1382 of the family's 1533-position model. Lineage: Bacteria; Pseudomonadati; Pseudomonadota; Betaproteobacteria; Burkholderiales; Comamonadaceae. The record is from RNAcentral.